This 501-nucleotide ribosomal RNA is filed under the name uncultured bacterium. RNAcentral's name for it is "partial 16S ribosomal RNA". It matches the Rfam family "Bacterial small subunit ribosomal RNA", at positions 30 to 523 of the family's 1533-position model. The record is from RNAcentral.
UUUGAACGCUGGCGGCAGGCUUAACACAUGCAAGUCGAGCGGAGAUGAGGUGCUCGCACCUUAUCUUAGCGGCGGACGGGUGAGUAAUGCUUAGGAAUCUGCCUAUUAGUGGGGGACAACAUUCCGAAAGGAAUGCUAAUACCGCAUACGUCCUACGGGAGAAAGCAGGGGAUCUUCGGACCUUGCGCUAAUAGAUGAGCCUAAGUCGGAUUCGCUAGUUGGUGGGGUAAAGGCCUACCAAGGCGACGAUCUGUAGCGGGUCUGAGAGGAUGAUGCGCCACACUGGGACUGAGACACGGGCCAGACUCCUACGGGAGGCAGCAGUGGGGAAUAUUGGACAAUGGGGGGAACCCUGAUCCAGCCAUGCCGCGUGUGUGAAGAAGGCCUUAUGGUUGUAAAGCACUUUAAGCGAGGAGGAGGCUCUUUUGGUUAAUACCCAAGAUGAGUGGACGUUACUCGCAGAAUAAGCACCGGCUAACUCUGUGCCAGCCGCCGCGGUAA